AGAUGGGAGCUUGCUCCCUGAUGUUAGCGGCGGACGGGUGAGUAACACGUGGGUAACCUGCCUGUAAGACUGGGAUAACUCCGGGAAACCGGGGCUAAUACCGGAUGGUUGUCUGAACCGCAUGGUUCAGACAUAAAAGGUGGCUUCGGCUACCACUUACAGAUGGACCCGCGGCGCAUUAGCUAGUUGGUGAGGUAACGGCUCACCAAGGCGACGAUGCGUAGCCGACCUGAGAGGGUGAUCGGCCAC
Molecule: ribosomal RNA, 249 nt
Filed under: Bacillus subtilis
Lineage: Bacteria; Bacillati; Bacillota; Bacilli; Caryophanales; Bacillaceae
Description: partial 16S ribosomal RNA
Rfam family: Bacterial small subunit ribosomal RNA
Source: RNAcentral